GGUUCGGUGGUGUAGUUGGUUAUCACAUCUGUCUAACAUGUCAUCACGUGAGCGAUCACGUGACAUGAUGGACACAGAAGGUCCCGAGUUCAAACCUCGGCUGAAUCA
Non-coding RNA from Coniosporium apollinis CBS 100218, 108 nucleotides. The record is from the annotation of a RefSeq genome assembly. Lineage: Eukaryota; Fungi; Ascomycota; Dothideomycetes.